AUUAGGGACCCCAGAUCUUGGCAAGAUUUCUUCUAAUAUCUUCUUGGCUGCCAUGGUAGCUGUUUCCUGCUUAGUAGGAAAAGCCUCAACCCAUCCAGAGAAAGACACAAGAACAGCACUCCCAUGACACCCAACAACUGACCUCCUAUGCUUGGCCAUGGAUGACUGAAGGGGUCCAAGAAUCUCACCAAUUCCAUCAGCAUCAGGGAGCUCCAGGUUGAAAAUGGAAUUUAAGAGGUGAUCCAAACCAUUCUCACUCUCCAAAGACAAAUUGAUUCUGACAGGGGCUAGAUAUUCUUACAGAAAAAGAAGGUGGUCUUUGCCUUUUUCUCCAAAAAGAAAGCUGCUUCCUCGUCAACCAGUCUGGAAUAAUGAGAAACAAAAUCUAGCAGUUAGAAUCAGACAUCCAAAAACAUAGGGAAAAGUAUGAGGCCUCUAAUUCCUGGGAUUUCUAAAACUUUAUAUAAAAAUUAAUACUGCCUUUCUAACCUCCCCCCUUUUUCUCAUUUUUCUAGUUGUACUAUUUACUCCCUGCCUCAUUAAUCUCAUCUCGACAUUCCUUCAAACACAAAUUCAAAACAUUAUUUUAAAGAUUUUUAUUUAUUAUAUAUGAGUACACUGUAGUGGUCUUAAGACACACCAGAAGAGAGCAUCAGAUCUCAUUACAGAUGGUUGUGAGCCACCAUGUUGUUGUUGGGAAUUGAACUCAGGACCUCUGGAAGAGCAGUCAGAGCUCUUAACCACUGCACCAUCUUUCCAACCCCAAUUCAAAACAUUUUUAACCAAAUAAUUAGAUAAUUUACAGUAUUACCAACCACUGUUUAUAGAAGAGCCUGGUACAAAUUACUAUAAAAUGAGCCCCAAUGAUGAGGGUCAGCUCUGUCCCAAAAUGGAUGAUGCCCUAGACAUUACUGAGGAAUUUAAAGGAUCUUAUGCUCCUAUUCCUGUCUACAGUUCCUCCUCAUUUAUAAGAAAGAGAGGGGAAUGCUAGCAUCAAGUGAUUCUUUGGAUGUCUUUAUAGCCAGUUCUUAGACCCAACAAUAAGACAUGUCAUCUCUAGGUACAGUGCCACUCCCAGAACAUUUUCCACAUGUGUCAUGGCCCAAAUAAAAGACUUGUCCCUCUGGCCUAUAGCCCAUUCUUCUUCCCUCUUAACCAUGCCUAGAGGUCCCCUCUGUCAAUAAAACCAGCCAUGUGAGACUCACAGCAUACUGUGAAUUGUAAGGAAAUGCAUUGCCUAUUCUAACACAUGUUAUUUCCCAGCAUCAACAUACUGGAAAUUAAAUCUAGCACAGGAAAGCUUAGGUAACAAACCACCUUCAAAUCAUGGUGGGCUUCUUCACGUAUCCCCAGUGGAUAUGUUAAGAAACAGAAUGUUAGAGUGUUUACUGGAUUUCAGGUUGUAGAGUUGUUAUAUAGUGAGAGGAAAAGUGCAAAACAACUUUUGUUAUUGUUUCUUGCUUGUGUGCUCUUGAUGACUGCUUCCUGAAUUUCUUCACAGAGAGGUAAGUAGAUAUAGCCUGAUUAAUAGUACUUUUGCUUCUAUAUGUUCAUUGUAUUACCAUACAGUUUAGUUUUAACUGUUCAGAGGGGAUUGUGUGUGUGUGAGUGUGUGUGUGUGUUUGUGUGUGUGUGUUUCUGUAUGUAUUUAUUAAUAUUUGUCUUCAUCUGGAGGCUAGUGGUGAACUUAGGGACUGUUCUUUAGGAGACAUAUGCCUUAAAUUCUGAGGCAAAGUUUUAUUGGCCAGAAUCUUCUUGAGUAAGCUUAUUUAUCAAUGUGUAGAGGGGAAUGCAUACAUCUCCACCUCCCUGACACUGGGAUUACAUUUAUGUACCACCACACCAAACUCAUUUACCUGACCUCUGGGUAUUGAAUUUCCAUGGUUAUGUUCAUGUGGCAAGAACUUUAUGGGCUGAGAAACCUCCACAGAGCAUAAUUUUAUUAUUUAUAUUGAUAUUUUAAGCAACACAAAAUAUAAAUUAAUAAAUGAUGAAAAUAUUUAAUGUGUACUAAUGAAAGGACAUUAGAAUUUGUAUCGAUUAGCUGUCUUGAUUAACUGGUUUUUCCAAACUUGCCUGAUCAUUGGGUUAAUUCAUCUUUUAUCUAUUUUCAGAAUAUAUUUGGGUGAAAACAUGCUGGAAAAAGAAUGAAUUAAGUAAAUGAAAUGCAAAGUAAACCCUCCACUGGGCACUACAAAUAUUUUAUCCUUUUUUCCAUCAUGAGAAAAUUGUCAAGGAAGAAUGUGGUCCUGGCUUUUCAGAAAGAAGUGCCCAGAGAUAUCAGAAAGUGGUAAGAUGAGAAUCAUGGGACCUGAGUGGGUUGCAUAUGCAAGCUCUGCAAAAGAUGCAAUAGGAAGGUGUAUAUCCCUCAUCUGUCACUUGCCAAAGGCAGUGUGAAAGCACAUUGACCUGGAGGACAAGCUGGUCUUUUUGUUACGUUUUGUCAUAUUGUAAACAAGCAUUCUCUUUAUCUCAGAUAGGACCCCAAAAUAAAUACAUCACAAAAAUCCAACCUGGGAAAGUGAAUAAUUUAUUGGAAAUAGGUGAGGAGAUACUUAAUGGAGAUGGAAUGACUCAAAAAAAACAGCUGAGUCACUGAGAACUCAACUUUGACUCACUGAUAGUUCAUAAAGCUAUAAACCUGGUAUUCUCUGUACAACUCAGCAAGUCAUAGACACUUCUAGGAUCCACUAGCUCCAUUAAUUUGUCCCUCUUCAAGGCAGCUUGGGUGGUCUCUGUCUUGUUAGCUGUCUUUACUGAUUAUAUAACUUGGGAGGAUCCUUGUAUAUCUGGUAACUUUCAGAGAUUUCUUGAGAUUUCUAAGUUUUCAUGAAAUAUUUAUUUACUGAGUCAUAUCAUGCCUUUUGUUUAAAUGUCUUACACACUACUGAGCUUCAGAGGAAGGAGCUACAUGAACCAAGACAGCUUUGCUCCAUACCCUGCAACAGGGGGUCUCCUUUACUAGGGAGUCUCAGAAACUCUCCUUGGCACUACAGUUUGUUCACACAAUCACCUUUUCUUUGGAAUAAAAUUGAGUUUCUGAACUUCAUGUCUUCCUUGACCUAGGGAUAUAAGUGUUUCUUGUUAUGUGCUUCAGUGAUGUGUGGAAACACUCUCAAAUUUAACACAGCCAAAUACAGAGGGGAAGGGAGGAUAGAACCAUACUUCUGUAGAGAUUCUAAUUAGGAUUAGACACACCUUUGACUCACCAGUUCCAAUUUGAAGAGCACACAGAGAAAAAGAGAGGAAAGCAGGUCUGUUGCUUUUCUCCUAUACACUGUUGAUGUACUAAAUUAUGGACAAUCUCAGAGGUAGAGGAAUUGAAUAUCUGUCAUAGAUCACAUAAGGCAGCACCUGCAGUGGUGCUACUAUUUAUGGGCUCACAGAACCAAGCUCUACAAUAUCAUGCUGUAUUGUUACAUAAUUAAUUUUUCUGCCCAAACACAAUAUGGGUAUACUCCAUAUGGUUGUCAUGAGGAGAUUUGUCAUAUCUUGGGUCUCUAUUUAUAGAGUAACUAGCUUUUGGCAACUCAACUUCAAAAUGCAUCUGAUGUACUAAGGAAAGUGUGAGGUAUCAUUGACUUCAUUUAGAUAUGAAAUGCACACACUGAAUCUUUGUAGGUUAUCCUAUAGGUACAAGCUCAUGGGAGGAACUUACAUGAUUCACUUUAUCUAGGCCAGUCCUGGUGUGCAGAAACAGAUCAGUGCUCUGCAUUGUACUUGGAAAUUAUAGUGUUUGCUUGCAUUUUAAAGGAAUUUUGCUUUAUUGAAUAUCUUUCUAUAUGUGAACACUGUGUGUGUAUGCUUUUGUAUGGGUCUGUGUGUAAGAUUACCUUACCUUUUCAAUGGUGUGUCUUAGUGGACUGGAUUUUGCUGAUGUUGCUAGGGUGGCUGGCAAGUGAGUCCAAGGGAUGUGCUUGUCUCUACUUCCCCAGUCCUUAGACUAUAUCUCCAUCCCAUAAUGUCCAGCUUAAUAACUAUAAAAUUAUUGUGUCUGUGUGCACUUGUCUGAGUUUAUUCAUACUACAUUGUUCCUGAAACAACAGUAGACUGAAUAAGAUAUCAGCUUCCCUAAAACUGUAUCAACAGACCAGUGUGAGUUGCUGUGUUUGUGUUGGGAACUGAACCUUUGUCCUCUGUAAGUCCAGCUAGUGUUCUUACUGAGCUAUUUCAGCAAGCCAUUGCCCAGCUUUUUCAAGUUGAGGUUGGGGACAGAACUCUGAUUUUCAUGCUUAGGUGACAAUAAAUUUACUGUUUUUUUUUCAGAUGCCAAAACAACCCUUUAAACUGAACCCCCUCUAAUGAAAACUUACUUGUGAUGCUGAGAUAGGGGAGAGAAAAUGUGGGCCAGAUUUCUAGGUUCCAAAUCAGAAUUGUUGAACCUCAAGAUAAUUGACAGAGAAUGUUAAUUAGAAAUAAUGUGAUUCUCUAGCACCUGUGCCAACAAACUUAUUUUGAGAUACAUUUUAUACCAGUAACUUUUGAAAAUAUCUUGUGCUGAAAAAAAAUGUGUUGCAUAGUCACAUCAACGUCCAAACUUUCAUAAGGCUACACAUUAAAAAGCACAACUUCGUUUUUAGUUCAUUACCCUGAGUUUACCAUGGCUACACCCUUACUGUUUAUGUAUCAAGAGACUCCAAAUGAAAUAGUCUAUGUUAGUUCAUGAAAGCAUUCACAUGUAACUGGCUGGAGGUCCUCUUCAGUUGUAGAACAUGUAGUUAGCAUGUAAAAUAUCCUGGCUUUGAUCUUAUUCCUCUUGCCAAAAUUCACUUUAUGGAUCCUUCUGCAACCUGCUUUUCCAGUAGGCAUUUUACAGUGAGGAAUCUUUCUGAAUAGGUAUAAUAAUAAGCAAUGUUCUCUACCCUGACUAUUGACCAAUCACUGGGUGGAUAGACAGUAUAUUUUCAACCUUAUUUCUCUGAUGAAUAAAGUAUGUGCUGCAUCUUAGCUUUUACUAUUUUAAAUAAUACUCCAAACAACAUUUUUUACUAAAUAUAUUUUGCACAUUACAGUUAAACCUAAUAGAUAAAUUCAUCCUCCUUGGUACAAUGCAAGCUUGCAUUUAUUGUGCAGCUAUUACCUACAAAUGGAAACAUUGCCUCCUAGAGGGAAGAAAGGAAAUUCUAAGAUUCAGACAAAAAAAAUAACUCACAAAUUCAGGAAACUCAUAAAAUUUACAAGAUCCAAAACUCCCUGAACAAGAUUACAGAGCAGUAAAAACUUGUGAGAAGAAGAAUCUCUCGGUCUAUAUAUCUGAGCUUUCUGAAAGUAACACAAAGAGCUCCAGGAAACAACUCUCAUGAGUCUCCACCCAUUCUAGAAUGGGCUGUUUUAUUAUGCUUGCCUUUGAGUAACCCAUGCUUUUAUGGAUAAACCUGCACAGGGAGCGCUUGUAGAAUUCCAAGUAAACACACGUGUUGGCUUAGUGACAUUUGGAUGAAUAUUUUUCUCCUUUUGUUUAAUUGUUGGUGCACUGCCUAGGAUGAUUAAGCAUUUCAUUUUUUCAUGUCUCCCAGUUAAGGUCACAGAGUGGUUUUCUUGCUGUUCAGAAAUGAGAAAAACAGAGACUUUGUAAAUAAUUCUGAUACUUGCAAAUAUCACAGGAGAUAAAUAUUUUUCAUCUAUACAGUUUCUCCCAAAUAUUAGUUAAGCAUCUGUGAUGGACCAUAUUCACUGUAUGUUAGGGCCAUAUACACUGUUUGUUAGAUUAUAGUAACAGAAGGGAGAAAGAAAUAAAAAUAAACGUCAAAUGGAAAACUCUUUCCCAGGUAGCUGAUGGUGCAUAUGGGGAAGACAAAUGUGAAUUAAGUAAUAACAUAAUAUAAUAUAAAAUUCCAACCUUAGUGAGUUCUAUAAAUAUAUGAUAGUGAGUAACAAAGAUGGAGCAAUUCAAGGAUGGGCUAACAUAGAGGAUGGUUCCUAUGGAAAGGGAGAGUUGGUUCAAUCUAAAGUAUAAAGUGAAUACUCACUAGCCAAGGGGAAAAGAAAAAAGAGUAAUGAGGAUAGUAAAAUUAAAGGGACAAAUUAUUAUGGGCAGAGAAUCUGUCUAAGACAUGUCCAGUCAGGGGAGGAGUA
Molecule: long non-coding RNA, 6075 nt
Organism: Rattus norvegicus (Norway rat)
Lineage: Eukaryota; Metazoa; Chordata; Mammalia; Rodentia; Muridae
Source: RefSeq, a predicted model, not a curated record